RNAcentral lists this ribosomal RNA (468 nucleotides) under uncultured bacterium. Its description in RNAcentral is "partial 16S ribosomal RNA". It matches the Rfam family "Bacterial small subunit ribosomal RNA", at positions 28 to 507 of the family's 1533-position model. The record is from RNAcentral.
GACGAACGCUGGCGGCGUGCUUAACACAUGCAAGUCGAACGGAAAGGCCCUGCUUUUGUGGGGUGCUCGAGUGGCGAACGGGUGAGUAACACGUGAGUAACCUGCCCUUGACUUUGGGAUAACUUCAGGAAACUGGGGCUAAUACCGGAUAGGAGCUCCUGCUGCAUGGUGGGGGUUGGAAAGUUUCGGCGGUUGGGGAUGGACUCGCGGCUUAUCAGCUUGUUGGUGGGGUAGUGGCUUACCAAGGCUUUGACGGGUAGCCGGCCUGAGAGGGUGACCGGCCACAUUGGGACUAAGAUACGGCCCAGACUCCUACGGGAGGCAGCAGUGGGGAAUAUUGCGCAAUGGGCGGAAGCCUGAUGCAGCGACGCCGCGUGCGGGAUGACGGCCUUCGGGUUGUAAACCGCUUUCGCCUGUGACGAAGCGUGAGUGACGGUAAUGGGUAAAGAAGCACCGGCUAACUACGUG